Molecule: non-coding RNA, 72 nt
Organism: Podarcis lilfordi (Lilford's wall lizard)
Lineage: Eukaryota; Metazoa; Chordata; Lepidosauria; Squamata; Lacertidae
Source: the annotation of a GenBank genome assembly
GCCACAGUUCAGUGGCAGAGCAUCUGUCCUGCAAAGAGGAGAUCCUAGGUUCAAUCCCUGCAGGUAUCUCCA